GCAAGGGUCCUUUUGGCAGCAUUGCCACAAGGGCAUUAACCCUCGACUCCAGUGAAUUCUCAGUUGUGAAUCCUGAAACCUUCUGAGGCAGUGGCCGAGCCUGCAGAGAACCUCCAAGGAGAGAACAAAUCAAAGCUAGAGUAAUCAAGAAACGUAUGAAACUGUUGAACCUGCAGCUUGAGCAACCCAUCUUCAUUAGCAUGUACUGCACUGAGGAUUGAUGAUAGGUAGAAAGUUAUAUAUAUAAAGGGGUGGUGUGAAAUGGUCAGGUAUUGCAUGCAUGAAAGGUGGGCCGGCAAAAUGAUGCGCCAGUAAGUUUACCUUCUGAUGAUGAUGAUGAUCCUAAAG
RNAcentral lists this unclassified non-coding RNA (348 nucleotides) under Hevea brasiliensis (rubber tree). Lineage: Eukaryota; Viridiplantae; Streptophyta; Magnoliopsida; Malpighiales; Euphorbiaceae. The record is from RNAcentral.